AACCAGACGGAAGCGAUGCGGGAGGGCAUGCCCAGGAUGAAAACCUGGGCCACAGAGCAGAUGAGCUGGCCCACCACGGUGACCGGAAAGAGAUGCGGCUUCAGGCUGCCCAGCUUCACCCAGGCCCCCAGGCAGUUGAGAGCCGAGCCAGUGAGAGCAAUGGUGCGCAGGCCGAACUUCUCCAGCAGCCAAGCCACUGGCAGGAGCAGAGGGAUGUAAGUCAGCAUGUAGCACAUGGACAGCCAGUCAAUGGCAAAGGCACUGACACCGUAGAAGUGCAUGAAGAUGUUAUUGAUGGAGCCGUACUGGAUCCACUGAAAGGAGUUGCACAUGGAGUAGCAGCUAAACACCAGGACCACGGCCCAACGGCGCCUGCUCACCUUGAUCACGCUGAGGUCCUCAGGGCCCGAGCUACUGGGGUGAGCCAAGCCACUGGGUUGGGCUAAGGCACUGGGGUGGGCCGAACUGCUGGGGUGGACAGAGACGCUGGGGUUGAUGGAGACGCUGGGAUGGACCGAGACGCUGGGAUGGACCGAGACGCUGGGGUCCGCUUGGAGUGCGGACUCCGGCACAGGGGUGUCAUCGCUCUCUUCCUGGUUGGGACCUUCAUUCACCAUCGCCACAGUCUCCUCUGGAAUCCUGGAGAAGUGGUGAGGACUCCGGCAGUCUUAAGGGACAGUGGCCUCUGCUGGUCUCUUAGAGUUGAAAGGACACUUGCCUAUUCCAGAAGAAACAGAGACUAGAGGCUGCGUAAAAGCCUCAAGUGGGGCUUCCUGUGCUCACCUCCAAGCUCCUGCUCCCACUUUUGCUUGGGGCUCUCUGUUGCCACCCGCGGCGAUCGCUGUCCCAAGGCCGGCCGCACACGCCGCAGCCGGCUCCGGACCGCUCCUGCCUUGGGUCUCCCCACGAGGCGUUCCUUGUGCAGGAAAAGUUCUCUCCUUGCGCAGCCACUUCGCCCGCAGAGUCCUCUCCCGGGCCAGCUUGGGGCCUCGCCCAGUCGGGCACACGUGACCGCCCCGCCCCCGUCCUGCCUGGCUUCUUCCGCCCCCAACCCCCCCGCCACCACUCCACCCCCGACCCAGUGUCUCUUGCCUUCUCGAGCCCGGUCCUCCGGGCAGAGCAGUUGUUUCGCCACAGCUUGCGGGAUGCAUUCCUCCCCCACGCCCCGGGCGCCAUGGAAACCGCCCGGUUAACCCCCACCCUUUGCACUGCCCCUCAUAUUCAUUUGCCACCCGCUAUCAGCGGACCCUGCAAGAAGAUCCGCCUUCCCGAAGUAAUGCCCAAAAUAGAGCCUCUCCGGUGCCUGUCCGCAUGCCCUGCGCGCGUGCACCAAAGCCCGGCGCCACCUAAGUGUUCUGGGGAAUUCAAGAGGGAUUCCCCAACUUUCUCCCCCUUGGCUUAGGCUCCCAGCCCUUUGCUGAACUAAAGAGAGAUUUGUAGAUUUCCCGGGCUGGUUGCGCUCCUGGGUUAAAGGGGAGUUACAGAAAACUCGCUUUACUCGCUUCUUUCCCUGCGGACGUGGUUUUGUCUUGGGGAGGUUAGAUUUGAACCUGUUAUGUGGGGCUAUUUUUCCUGAUGGAUUCUGGGCGAAGACCCUAGGGUGCGGGGGAGGGAAAGGAGAGUUUGAAGAAGCCGAAGAAGCUGUCCGCGGUUGUGUGAUGGAACGCUUAGCACAGAGCUGGCUCCGGGCUUGGUCUUGGAAGCGGUCUUUGAACUCAAGCAGCCCUAGUCUGCCACCUGCCGGUCCUAGCCCAUUUCAAAGGGCAAACCCUCGACUCGUUGCACUGACCUCUGUCCUUGGCGAGGGAUCCUGAUAAGGAAACUGAGGCCUGGAGAGGCGGGUGUGUUACUCAGCGUCCUAUAGUGAAAUAGCAUCAGAACAAGCAGCAAUAAAAUGGGUGCUCCUUCCACGUGGCCUUUCCCAUGAGCUCUUCUGGGGCAGCCCUUCAGCUUGAUUUCUAGCUGUCUCAGGACUUGUGGAUAUUUUUGUAUAUUUUGGAGUGUUUAGUGAGAUAAACUAUGUAACACACGCUCUCAAUACGUAUCUGUAGAAUUGAGUUGUACUGCAUAUCACCAUGAAAUUUUACAAAACUGGAGACAAAGAGGAGAUCCAACAGGAUUUCAGAGAUUUUAAAAAAUCAGAAAAAGUUAAAAAAAAAGUUAACGACUCAGUGUGCGCUCCUCAAGCUUAGAAAUGAUGGCCUAUUCAUCUUCAAAUCCCAACCUCUGUGACCUCUGUCACCACAAGAUCAAGAGG
Molecule: long non-coding RNA, 2257 nt
Filed under: Homo sapiens (human)
Lineage: Eukaryota; Metazoa; Chordata; Mammalia; Primates; Hominidae
Description: long non-coding RNA NONHSAT169505.1
Source: RNAcentral